UAUUGACAGGCUUUAUUUGGUACAUAUAAAUUUCCAAUAUAUUUAUGGAAAGAAAAUUUCUUGGCAUAAGCAAUGCAAUAGAAGCACGGUCUGAGCCAGGAGAAGAUCUUGAUAUACCCCUCGAUGAAACUCAUUUCGCAAAAGCGUGCGUUUCGAACGGAACUAUUUUUGGUCCAGGAUCUGCAAUGGAUACUUCCUCCUUCUGUGAAUAUUGCUAUUGUAUUGGAGGCAAAGAAACUUGCAUCAAACCUAAAUGCCUUCUUCCAGUGGAAGGCUGCACUCCUAUUUUCGACCCUUCCUACUGUUGUCCUAUACAUUACAAUUGUACUUCAACGACUAGAUUCUUAACAACCAGUACUACAACAGAGCUACCACGAUAUAA
This is a long non-coding RNA of Leptinotarsa decemlineata (Colorado potato beetle), 382 nucleotides long. NCBI's taxonomy places the organism in Eukaryota, Metazoa, Arthropoda, Insecta, Coleoptera, Chrysomelidae. The record is from RefSeq and is a predicted model, not a curated record.